Molecule: ribosomal RNA, 497 nt
Filed under: uncultured bacterium
Lineage: Bacteria
Description: partial 16S ribosomal RNA
Rfam family: Bacterial small subunit ribosomal RNA
Source: RNAcentral
GAUGAACGCUGGCGGCGUGCCUAAUACAUGCAAGUCGAGCGAACAGACGAGGAGCUUGCUCCUCUGACGUUAGCGGCGGACGGGUGAGUAACACGUGGAUAACCUACCUAUAAGACUGGGAUAACUUCGGGAAACCGGAGCUAAUACCGGAUAAUAUAUUGAACCGCAUGGUUCAAUAGUGAAAGACGGUUUUGCUGUCACUUAUAGAUGGAUCCGCGCCGCAUUAGCUAGUUGGUAAUGUAACGGCUUACCAAGGCAACGAUGCGUAGCCGACCUGAGAGGGUGAUCGGCCACACUGGAGCUGAGACACGGUCCAGACUCCUACGGGAGGCCGCAGUAGGGAAUCUUCCGCAAUAGGCGAAAGCUUGACGGAGCAACGCGGCGUGAGUGAUGAAGGUCUUCGGAUCGUAAAACUCUGUUAUUAGGGAAGAACAAAUGUGUAAGUAACUAUGCACGUCUUGACGGUACCUAAUCAGAAAGCCACGGCUAACUACGUG